UGCCUUAUGAUGAAUUAUGUAAGGUAAAACCUGCCCAGUGAAUUUUCAACGGCCGCGGUAUCCUGACCGUGCUAAGGUAGCAUAAUCAUUUGCCUUUUAAUUAAAGGCUAGUAUGAAUGGUUAAACGAAUAUAUAACUGUCUCUAUAAAAUAAAUAAAAAUUAAUUUUUUAGUAAAAAAGCUAAAAUUCAAAUAAAGGACAAAAAGACCCUGUAGAACUUUAUUUAUACUAAAUUUUAAACCCUAUUCAAAAAGAUAUUUAUUUAGUUUUAAUUUGGUUGGGGCGACUUAGGAAUAAAUAAAACUUCCUUCAUAAAUAAGAUAUAAAAUCAUAUCAAUGACCCAUUUAAUUGUUCAUAUAACUAGUUACCUCAGGGAUAACAGACUUAUUUUCCUUAAGAGACCUUAUUGACAGGAAAGUUUGGCACCUCGAUGUUGGCUUAGGUACUCCUAAAGAUGCAGCAGUCUUUUUGGUGGGCUUGUUCAUCCCUUAAAUACCUACA
This 502-nucleotide ribosomal RNA is filed under the name Macrochaeta clavicornis. Its description in RNAcentral is "partial 16S ribosomal RNA". It matches the Rfam family "Bacterial large subunit ribosomal RNA", at positions 1829 to 2600 of the family's 2925-position model. Lineage: Eukaryota; Metazoa; Annelida; Polychaeta; Terebellida; Acrocirridae. The record is from RNAcentral.